CGCCCGCCGCGCGCGGCGGGCGGGGCGGGGGCACGGGGGGCCUACGGGAGGCAGCAGUGGGGAAUAUUGCACAAUGGGCGGAAGCCUGAUGCAGCAACGCCGCGUGCGGGAUGACGGCCUUCGGGUUGUAAACCGCUUUCGCCUGUGACGAAGCGUGAGUGACGGUAAUGGGUAAAGAAGCACCGGCUAACUACGUGCCAGCAGCCGCGGUAAU
Molecule: ribosomal RNA, 214 nt
Filed under: Propionibacterium sp. Taian
Lineage: Bacteria; Bacillati; Actinomycetota; Actinomycetes; Propionibacteriales; Propionibacteriaceae
Description: partial 16S ribosomal RNA
Rfam family: Bacterial small subunit ribosomal RNA
Source: RNAcentral